RNAcentral lists this unclassified non-coding RNA (237 nucleotides) under Hevea brasiliensis (rubber tree). Lineage: Eukaryota; Viridiplantae; Streptophyta; Magnoliopsida; Malpighiales; Euphorbiaceae. The record is from RNAcentral.
GGCAAUUGCGAACACUGUGCUGCAAGAUCUUAACUGAGACUUGGUUGGUUGGGUUUCUAGAGAUCACCUUUAGAACUGCAAAAUAUCAAGCAUUGUCAUUAUUUUUAUUAAUUUCUUAAAGCUCAAUGUCUCUUCGAAAACCACCACUUCCUCGAAUCCUCCUGGAUAAUGUCUCAUGCAUGAGAAAUGCCCAACAAAUCUUGCGACAUGUAAAUGUCUCCAUUCAUGAUGGAGGGG